Molecule: small RNA, 1074 nt
Filed under: uncultured bacterium
Lineage: Bacteria
Description: bacterial SSU rRNA
Rfam family: Bacterial small subunit ribosomal RNA (bases 1-491)
Source: RNAcentral
AUGGCUGUCGUCAGCUCGUGUCGUGAGAUGUUGGGUUAAGUCCCGCAACGAGCGCAACCCUUAUUCUAUGUUGCCAGCGGAUUAUGCCGGGGACUCGUAGAAGACUGCCGGGGUCAACUCGGAGGAAGGUGGGGACGACGUCAAGUCAUCAUGCCCCUUAUGUCCAGGGCUGCAAACACGCUACAAUGGCCGGUACAGAGGGCUGCAAACUCGUGAGGGUGAGCGAAUCCCAUAAAGCCGGUCUCAGUUCGGAUUGGAGGCUGCAACUCGCCUCCAUGAAGCUGGAGUUGCUAGUAAUCCCGGAUCAGCACGCCGGGGUGAAUACGUUCCCGGGCCUUGUACACACCGCCCGUCACGCCAUGGAAGUGGUGAGCGCCCGAAGUCCGUGUCGGAACCCGCAAGGGGCCAAGCGGCCGAAGGCGAGCAUCAUGACUGGGGCGAAGUCGUAACAAGGUAGCCGUAGGGGAACCUGCGGCUGGAUCACCUCCUUAACGGAGCUGCGAGUAAGGCAGACUUGCUGGGGUAACCCAGGUUACUUGCCGGAAAGCACUCACGUGUCGCUCGUCUCGUAUCAUCCCGAUCUCAAUCUCGAUUUCCAUAUAAACGAGCCCGAACCGUGGCCCGGUGUUGCGGGUAUGAUUCAGGCUCGAAAGAACAAGAGGGACUGCACCUUAAGUCCUUAAGCACCAAGCGACAGAGCGCUUAUAUCUCGAAAGCUUUUUGACAAUGGAAAGUAGUAGUGAUCGUGGGAUUUGAGCACCUGGACCUGAUAAGAUCUGGGUGCUGAGAAUCAACACUAGUGACACAAUUUCAUAGAAGCUCUGACCUUCGGGUUGGGGCUCGAUUUGUCUCAAAGAGCUUGAAGAAGCUUCGAGAGUCCAAAUGAUUGUAUCACUCGUUAGAUCGCGCGUGUUAUUGUUUGAACAAAUGGAACAAGUUAUUUGAUCAAGCGAAAGAAAGUAUGUGGGGGAUGCCUAGGUACACAGAGGCGAUGAAGGCCGUGGUAAGCUGCGAUAAGCCAGGGGGAGCUGCACACAAGCUAUGAGCCCUGGAUGGCCGAAUGGGGAAACCCGG